This 621-nucleotide ribosomal RNA is filed under the name Sarcocystis tenella. RNAcentral describes it as "SSU rRNA". It matches the Rfam family "Eukaryotic small subunit ribosomal RNA", at positions 477 to 1077 of the family's 1831-position model. Lineage: Eukaryota; Apicomplexa; Conoidasida; Eucoccidiorida; Sarcocystidae. The record is from RNAcentral.
CAACACUGGAAAUUUUAUUUCUAGUGAUUGGAAUGAUGGGAAUUUAAACCCCUUUCAGAGUAACAAUUGGAGGGCAAGUCUGGUGCCAGCAGCCGCGGUAAUUCCAGCUCCAAUAGCGUAUAUUAAAGUUGUUGCAGUUAAAAAGCUCGUAGUUGGAUGUCUGCUGGAAGCAAUCAGUCCGCCCUAUUUGUAGGGUGUGCACUUGAUGAAUUCUGGCAUUUUUGUCCCAAUGAUGUAACGGGGCGGUGGUAUUCGGUGAAAGCCGAGUAUCCUGUUUUCCGAUUAUUGGGAUACUGUUACUUUGAGAAAAUUAGAGUGUUUGAAGCAGGCUAAUUGCCUUGAAUACUGCAGCAUGGAAUAACAAUAUAGGAUUUCGGUUCUAUUUUGUUGGUUUCUAGGACUGAAAUAAUGAUUAAUAGGGACAGUUGGGGGCAUUCGUAUUUAACUGUCAGAGGUGAAAUUCUUAGAUUUGUUAAAGACGAACUACUGCGAAAGCAUUUGCCAAAGAUGUUUUCAUUAAUCAAGAACGAAAGUUAGGGGCUCGAAGACGAUCAGAUACCGUCGUAGUCUUAACCAUAAACUAUGCCGACUAGAGAUAGGAAAAUGUCAUUUUGCUGACUU